GUCCACGCAGUAAACGAUGAGUGCUAGUUGUCGGGCUUUUGGGGUUCGGCGGCGAAGCUAACGCGUUAAGCACUCCGCCUGGGGACUACGGUCGCAAGACUAAAACUCAAAGGAAUUGACGGGGACCCGCACAAGCAGUGGAUCAUGUGGUUUAAUUCGAUGCUACGCGAACAACCUUACCAGCUCUUGAAUCCCAUUGACCGGUACAGAGAUGUACCUUCGGGGCAACCCGCAGUGGUGACA
Molecule: ribosomal RNA, 243 nt
Filed under: uncultured bacterium
Lineage: Bacteria
Description: partial 16S ribosomal RNA
Rfam family: Bacterial small subunit ribosomal RNA
Source: RNAcentral